RNAcentral lists this ribosomal RNA (253 nucleotides) under uncultured bacterium. Its description in RNAcentral is "partial 16S ribosomal RNA". It matches the Rfam family "Bacterial small subunit ribosomal RNA", at positions 524 to 776 of the family's 1533-position model. The record is from RNAcentral.
UACAGAGGUCCCGAGCGUUGUUCGGAUUCACUGGGCGUAAAGGGUGCGUAGGUGGCGAGGAAAGUCGGAUGUGAAAGCCCCGGGCUCAACCCGGGAAGUGCACUCGAUACUGCCAAGCUAGAGUAUCGGAGAGGUUGGUGGAAUUCUCGGUGUAGAGGUGAAAUUCGUAGAUAUCGAGAGGAACACCGGUGGCGAAGGCGGCCAACUGGACGAAUACUGACGCUGAGACUCGAAAGCGUGGGGAGCAAACAGG